This 71-nucleotide transfer RNA is filed under the name Cavia porcellus (domestic guinea pig). It matches the Rfam family "tRNA". From Rfam's summary of the family: Transfer RNA (tRNA) molecules are approximately 80 nucleotides in length. Their secondary structure includes four short double-helical elements and three loops (D, anti-codon, and T loops). The record is from Rfam by way of RNAcentral. Lineage: Eukaryota; Metazoa; Chordata; Mammalia; Rodentia; Caviidae.
GGGGAUUUAGCUCAGUGGCGUAAGCACCUGCCUUGCAAGCAGGCGGUUGUGAGUUCAAUCCACAGUACCGA